UGGGGGAUAUUGCACAAUGGGGGGAAACCCUGAUGCAGCGACGCCGCGUGAGGGAAGAAGGUCUUCGGAUUGUAAACCCCUGUCUUCGGGGACGAACACAAUGACGGUACUCGAGGAGGAAGCCACGGCUAACUACGUGCCAGCAGCCGCGGUAAAACGUAGGUGGCAAGCGUUGUCCGGAAUUACUGGGUGUAAAGGGAGCGCAGGCGGAGCUGCAAGUUGGGUGUCAAAUCUACGGGCUUAACCCGUAUCCGCACUCAAAACUGUAGUUCUUGAGUAGUGCAGAGGUAGGCGGAAUUCCCGGUGUAGCGGUGGAAUGCGUAGAUAUCGGGAGGAACACCAGUGGCGAAGGCGGCCUACUGGGCACCAACUGACGCUGAGGCUCGAAAGUAUGGGUAGCAAACAGGAUUAGAUACCCUGGUAGU
This 425-nucleotide ribosomal RNA is filed under the name uncultured Anaerofilum sp. RNAcentral describes it as "bacterial SSU rRNA". It matches the Rfam family "Bacterial small subunit ribosomal RNA", at positions 355 to 794 of the family's 1533-position model. Lineage: Bacteria; Bacillati; Bacillota; Clostridia; Eubacteriales; Oscillospiraceae. The record is from RNAcentral.